AGUGGGGAAUAUUGGUCAAUGGGCGCAAGCCUGAACCAGCCAUGCCGCGUGAGUGAUGAAGGCCCUAGGGUUGUAAAGCUCUUUCGGCGGGGAAGAUAAUGACGGUACCCGCAGAAGAAGCCCCGGCUAACUUCGUGCCAGCAGCCGCGGUAAUACGAAGGGGGCUAGCGUUGUUCGGAAUCACUGGGCGUAAAGCGCGCGUAGGCGGAUCGUUAAGUCGGGGGUGAAAUCCCGAGGCUCAACCUCAGAACUGCCUUCGAUACUGGCGAUCUUGAGUCCGGGAGAGGUGAGUGGAACUCCUAGUGUAGAGGUGAAAUUCGUAGAUAUUAGGAAGAACACCAGUGGCGAAGGCGGCUCACUGGCCCGGUACUGACGCUGAUGUGCGACAGCGUGGGGAGCAAA
This 402-nucleotide ribosomal RNA is filed under the name uncultured Caulobacteraceae bacterium. RNAcentral describes it as "bacterial SSU rRNA". It matches the Rfam family "Bacterial small subunit ribosomal RNA", at positions 353 to 772 of the family's 1533-position model. The record is from RNAcentral. Lineage: Bacteria; Pseudomonadati; Pseudomonadota; Alphaproteobacteria; Caulobacterales; Caulobacteraceae.